AAGCAUUAUCCAAUCAAAUCAAAAGCAACAAAAGUAAAAGGUAGUAGUAUAACCAAAAAUUGUCAGAAUGCAGCCAAAAGCUGAAGAUCCAUAUUGCCAUAUAUCAAGAUUGAACCGAAUCAGAACUAACCCAUUUCCAGAAAUGCUUCUUCACAAACACAGCCUUAUCCGCAGCCCUCUUUUCUUCAGAAUCAGUAUACUCCUCCACCUCUUCCGUACAAAACUCUCCCUCAGGCAACCCAUCCACCGUCACAUCCACAGAAUGUAAGACAUAACGAGCCGGCAGGCCAGGGUAUGACAUCGAAUUCCGUUCCUCAACCUUCUCCUUGUAGGAACCAGGCACAAUCCUCACAAGUCCACCGUCAUUUAUGAUCGAUCCAAGCUCUUCUUUUAUAGCACGAUAGACAGCAGCUUCAGGUGUCUCGUUGGGCUUCAUUUUCUCCGAUAAGGGUCUGCACCGAUUCCUUACACCACCAUCCGAUAAUUCUUGAUGAGAUUCAACAAGAAUUUGAUUGUUUUUACCGAUGAUUCGGACCGUAACAACGCUGACAGUACGGAUUGGAGGGGUGGAGUCAGCGAGGAAGGUUUCACCUUCAGAGAGCUCGAGCCAUAGGUUGUGAACGUUUUUGGUG
Molecule: unclassified non-coding RNA, 632 nt
Filed under: Hevea brasiliensis (rubber tree)
Lineage: Eukaryota; Viridiplantae; Streptophyta; Magnoliopsida; Malpighiales; Euphorbiaceae
Source: RNAcentral